AGGCCACACCCGAGGCCUCCCGGGUCUCAUCCACGCCUCUGGGUCCAUCACUAAACAGAAGGCACAAUCCCACUAACUCUUACUCCAUCGCUGCUCAUGAAACUCCUGCCAGUAAGGACUGGGUCAAGCACCUGAAAACCAGAGCUCGUCCGUGGCUUCACUUGUUUUGGACUAAGGAGCUGAGGAGCGUGCAAGACUGUACUUGGAGAAUCUGUUUCUUGCUGCCAUUUCGUCACUGAACACUAUUUUUUUUCUCCUUCUUUUUUUGUAAGAAAAGGAGAACACAUAAAACCCCACCAGAACAAACUCCACUCGGCCCUGAAAGUAUUUACAAUCACGGCCCUGAAAGUACUGAAAGUAUUUACAAUCACGUUACAGUUCAUUCACUGCUGCAGAACCUCUCUCCAGCGAUCAAGGUCGAAGGGAGCCGACGUCGCCCUCUAUCGGCUCCCUGCUGCACUAGAAGGUAAUUUAAACGAAAAGGCCCUUUGAAGCCAGUGUUCUCUAUUUUCUUCGAAACUCCAGGUUUUGGGGGCUUCUUUUCUGUUUGUUGUUUGUUUGCUCAGUCUAUGUUUUGAUUUGCUGGUGAGGGAAGGCAGAGAGAGGAAGUGGAGCAGGAGCCCAGCGCGUUUCUAUGGCCACCGCGACCACAGGCAGAGGGGGAGCCGUAGCAGGAAAGGCCAGGCCGCGCUCCGCACUGCGGGGGCCACGCCAACCUCCAUCCGACUCCCACAGAAGCGCCCACAAAAGGCACUUUCAUCACGUCCAGUGCCCGCUCCUGGGCCCACGGAAUGCAUUUGUUUUAGAGUCUCUGCAGAAACAAUGUUUCCACAUGCCAGCCACGCUCCGCAGACAGAAAGUUUCUUUGUGUUAGUGCCUGGUGUGAUGUGACCUCCACUGGUACAGCAUAGCCCGCCGCACCCCGGGGCCACAGCACUCUUCCAUCCCGCAGCCGCAUGAACCCCAGAAGGAGCUUCCACUGCAGAUAUUGACUGAGAAUCCUCCAUGUGCCAAGUACUGUUCAAAAACACUGGGAACCCAGCAGGGAUGAGCCACAAGUUUCCUUGUCUUUACGAAGCUUUCAUUCUGAGGGAGUGGAGAGAGACAAGCAAUAAACAACCAAUCAAAACAAA
RNAcentral lists this long non-coding RNA (1133 nucleotides) under Homo sapiens (human). Its description in RNAcentral is "novel transcript, antisense to KIF5C". Lineage: Eukaryota; Metazoa; Chordata; Mammalia; Primates; Hominidae. The record is from RNAcentral.